Molecule: RNA transcript, 2422 nt
Organism: Brachypodium distachyon (stiff brome)
Lineage: Eukaryota; Viridiplantae; Streptophyta; Magnoliopsida; Poales; Poaceae
Gene name: protein ROOT PRIMORDIUM DEFECTIVE 1
Exons: 3
Source: RefSeq, a predicted model, not a curated record
UACCGGUUCUUAAAUCGAGUCCUCAAAUCGCAUCCCUCCGGCGCCGUCGACGGCGAACUCACUCGCCUGCCUGCCUCCCCGCGUGUCCCCGUCGCCGUUGAGGCCAGGAUCGACGCAGGGCUCAACCGCCCAGCCGGUUGCCGUCCUCUCGCGGGUUGUGCGUGUGCGUCGCGCGACCCUUGGGUCCUCGUGGUGGCCGUCGGGUUCCCCUCGGCCUGAGCAUGCGUGUGCGGGGCAUCCUGCUGGCUCUGCUCCUGUCCUCCCGUCCUGCUUUCUAGGGCGCGCCCUUGGCGACCCUCCGACCGGUGGAGCUCGGUCUAUCCACCGCGAGCACAUCCUGUUCGACGAAAUGCCUAGCUAGCAAGCAUUUCUCCGAGCGCAAACUUGCUUGAACUAGUCGGCAUUGCUCCUUUACAGUACAGAACCUUUUUUUGCUUCUCAACGGAGUGCUCUAAGCAACGAUUAGGUUGCUAACUGAUACACAAGUGAGAUGGCAUCUAAGAUAUUUGGUCCAAGAAAUCUGCAUGUGUUUUCCCCAAGGUGGCACAUGUUGGAUGAAGCGUUUUGUUAUGGCCCGUUUAAUCGUAGUAUUCAAAGAAGGUGGAAGAAGCCGGUGGAUUCGGCGCGGACUCGUCUGGAGGGAAGAACAAGGGACCACAGGCUUGACAAGCUGAUGAUUCAGCUCAGGAACUUGAGGCUGGCUUUGGAUUUACAUGAGGUGAUAUCUCAGCAGAGGAACCACUACGCGUCAUUCCAACUCCUCUUGAGGUGGAGACAUGAGAUUGGGCUGAACAUUGAGAUUGGCUCUUUCCUCAAGAAAUAUCCCCACAUUUUCGAGAUUUAUGUGCACCCUGUCAAAAGGAAUCAUUGCUGUAGGAUCACCCAGAAGAUGGCUGAUUUGGUUGCAGAAGAAGAUGCUGUCAUCAGGGAAAAUGAGCCUGGCGUUGCUGAGCGGCUCAAGAAACUUCUCAUGAUGUCUAUGAACGGAACUUUGAAUAUGCAUGCCUUGUGGCUCAUAAGGAAGGAACUUGGUCUGCCUGAUGACUACAGGUCUUCUAUGCUGCCGAACCAUCAAUCUGAUUUUUCUCUUGAAACCCCUGAUACUCUGACGUUGAUCUCGAGGGAUGAGAAUCUUGCGGUAGCUAAUGUUGAAGAAUGGAGGGAGAAGGAGUACACAGAAAAAUGGUUGGCAGAAUAUGAGACGAAGUAUGCUUUUCCAAUAAACUUUCCUACUGGCUUCAAGAUUGAGAAAGGUUUUAGGGAAAAGCUUAAGAAUUGGCAAAGGCUCCCCUAUACCAAACCUUAUGAGAAGACUGAUUUGCAUCCUAUCAGCAACGUCGAGCGGCUUGAGAAACGUAUUGUCGGUAUUCUUCAUGAACUUUUAAGCUCGACGGUAGAAAAGAAGAUACCACUUGAGAGGUUGUCACACUUCAGGAGACCUUUUUCUAUCGAAGUAAACUUGCGGGAACUUCUUCUUAAGCACCCUGGCAUUUUCUACAUCUCGACCAAAGGAAGCACACAAACAGUGAUCCUUAGGGAUAGUUACAAUAAAGGAUGUCUGGUUGAGCCUAACCCCGUUUAUAGUGUGCGAAGGAAAAUGCUAGACCUUAUUUUGUCUGGAUGUCGUAACAUUGGUGAAACUGAGAAGGCAAUUUGUCUUGCCGAGGAGCAUAACCAAGGAAGCAGUCAUGGGUCACAGAAUCACACAUUCCAGGUAGAUGACAUGAAUUCCAAGUUGCAAUUUGAAAGUGACUUCUGUGGAGAGAGUCAUUUUCAUGAGGAGUCUUUCAGUGACUAGCGAAUUAAAGAUUGAAUGACACAAUGCAAUAACAGGAGAACUUAAGCGUUUAGCAGACAAAAAAGCAGAGCUGUUGGUGUUCUCUGAAGCACAAAUAGUAAAACAGGAGAUACUAAAUUUGAUAUUGAGGAAACUCCAUCAGAUGCUGUGGAUGUUUGCUUCUCUUGCCGUCCUAGCAGCAGGUUCUGCUGAAGCUCAGGUUAACUAGACCUGGUGCCGCUGUGCACCGCAGCAUCUCUUGUGUCUUAACAGUCUUCCGCUGCUCUUGGACAAGAGGAGAUGGCUGAAAAUACUAGCAGGCAGAAUAUACAUUACUCCACCUUCAGCACUUCGUCAUCCUGCUGUUAAUACCUUCUGCAAAACUUGUAUGCUCUUGAUACUCAGCAUUCAUGGAUUCGCUUAUUUAUAAUUGAAUAUUGCAAGUGCUGUGGCUGACCUUGGUGUAUCAUGUGACUGUGAGACGAACAACAUAUAUUGCAUCUGACCAUCUGUGGACCACUAAUCACUAGGGUUUCUGAACAUGCUAGACUAGGAUAUGCUGUCAUUAAAUUUUGGAUGUGCUGUUAGGCAGGUUUUGUUGUUGCUGAUAUUUAUGGAUUAUAUAUGCAACGUACUACCCUUUGC